RNAcentral lists this ribosomal RNA (481 nucleotides) under uncultured bacterium. Its description in RNAcentral is "bacterial SSU rRNA". It matches the Rfam family "Bacterial small subunit ribosomal RNA", at positions 32 to 523 of the family's 1533-position model. The record is from RNAcentral.
AAUCAACGCUGGCGGCGUGCCUCAGACAUGCAAGUCGAACGAUUAAAGCUCUCUUCGGAGAGUGUAUAGAGUGGCGCACGGGUGAGUAACACGUAAGUAAUCUACCCUCGAGUGGGGAAUAACAACCGGAAACGGUUGCUAAUACCGCAUAAUGCAGCGGCACCGCAAGGUGACAGUUGUUAAAGAUUUAUCGCUUGAGGAGGAGCUUGCGGCAGAUUAGCUAGUUGGUAGGGUAACGGCUUACCAAGGCUACGAUCUGUAACCGGUCUAAGAGGACGGUCGGUCACACUGACACUGAAUAACGGGUCAGACUCCUACGGGAGGCAGCAGUCGGGAAUUUUGGGCAAUGGGCGAAAGCCUGACCCAGCAACGCCGCGUGAAGGAUGAAGUAUUUCGGUAUGUAAACUUCGAAAGAAUAGGAAGAAUUAAUGACGGUACUAUUUAUAAGGUCCGGCUAACUACGUGCCAGCAGCCGCGGUAA